RNAcentral lists this ribosomal RNA (254 nucleotides) under uncultured bacterium. Its description in RNAcentral is "partial 16S ribosomal RNA". It matches the Rfam family "Bacterial small subunit ribosomal RNA", at positions 524 to 776 of the family's 1533-position model. The record is from RNAcentral.
UACGUAGGGGGGCAAGCGUUGUCCGGAUUUAUUGGGCGUAAAGAGCGUGUAGGCGGCCGCACAGGUCCGUUGUGAAAACUGGAGGCUUAACCUUCAGACGUCGAUGGAAACCGUGCGGCUAGAGUCCGGAAGAGGAGAAUGGAAUUCCUGGUGUAGCGGUGAAAUGCGCAGAUAUCAGGAAGAACACCCGUGGCUAAGGCGGUUCUCUAGUACGGUACUGACGCUGAGACGCGAAAGCGUGGGGAGCGAACAGG